RNAcentral lists this ribosomal RNA (506 nucleotides) under Enterococcus faecium. RNAcentral describes it as "bacterial SSU rRNA". It matches the Rfam family "Bacterial small subunit ribosomal RNA", at positions 15 to 492 of the family's 1533-position model. The record is from RNAcentral. Lineage: Bacteria; Bacillati; Bacillota; Bacilli; Lactobacillales; Enterococcaceae.
GAUCCUGGCUCAGGACGAACGCUGGCGGCGUGCCUAAUACAUGCAAGUCGUACGCUUCUUUUUCCACCGGAGCUUGCUCCACCGGAAAAAGAGGAGUGGCGAACGGGUGAGUAACACGUGGGUAACCUGCCCAUCACAAGGGGAUAACACUUGGAAACAGGUGCUAAUACCGUAUAACAAUCGAAACCGCAUGGUUUUGAUUUGAAAGGCGCUUUCGGGUGUCGCUGAUGGAUGGACCCGCGGUGCAUUAGCUAGUUGGUGAGGUAACGGCUCACCAAGGCCACGAUGCAUAGCCGACCUGAGAGGGUGAUCGGCCACAUUGGGACUGAGACACGGCCCAAACUCCUACGGGAGGCAGCAGUAGGGAAUCUUCGGCAAUGGACGAAAGUCUGACCGAGCAACGCCGCGUGAGUGAAGAAGGUUUUCGGAUCGUAAAACUCUGUUGUUAGAGAAGAAUAAGGAUGAGAGUAACUGUUCAUCCCUUGACGGUAUCUAACCAGAAAGCC